Molecule: long non-coding RNA, 629 nt
Organism: Oncorhynchus tshawytscha (Chinook salmon)
Lineage: Eukaryota; Metazoa; Chordata; Actinopteri; Salmoniformes; Salmonidae
Source: Ensembl
CUUCAUGUACCGCCACCCUGACGGGCUGCAGGCUGAGCUGGGCCUGGCGGGUCAGGAGGGCCUGGUCCACACCUGGCUGUUUGGGAUGAGGUGGUCAGCCCCCCUCCACCUCCCCCUGGGCCACUGGCACUACGUCUGUAUAACCUGGUCUGGGGCUUCUCACCAGCCAGCCCUCUAUGUCAAUGGGACCAGUGUGGAUGUUACAGCCCAUGCUAACGAAUCCCCCCUGUCCCCGUCCUGCUGCAGGCUGGCCCCGCACGGCACGCUCACCCUGGGUGUCUCCCACUACUUCAUCCAAGGGGAGAUGCAUGUGGAAAACGGUACCAACCUCAAUGGGAGUGUUUCUCUGUUCCGCGUGUGGGGGCAGGCACGCACCCCUGAACAGGUGUCGGACCUGAGCUGCACAGAGGGGGAUGAGGUGCGCUGGGAUGCUGUUGACUGGCUUACCCUGAGCUGCCCUCCAGUCCCAGACUCCCAUCUACAGUGUGCCUGGUCUUUGUACGAACUUAAAGUCAAGAUCGCCAUCAUCUGCUACGAUGGAAACAGUACUGACGUAUACAAAGCCAGAGACCUUGCACAGAAAUGGCUCAGACACAUAUUACCAUCCAACAAAUAUCAUUUGUACAGAG